AUGACAACCAUUCUUUGCAUGUUGUGGACCUGUGUAUGUUGAAUUAUAUUAAUUAAUUUGUAUAAUCAAUUGACUUGACAACUUUGCACAAAGAUCUAAUUUAUCUGUGAAUAUCAAUGGAAUUGUUCAUAGCUAUUAUAGGUAUAUCUACACGUUCUUGUAUAUAAACUAAAAGGGGACAAUGACAUGGUCUUAGACUCUAUGCUGUAAUCAAGCUUAGUAUGUGUGAUGUGGAGUGUCAAAGUGCCAGGUAUCAACCAUCACACCAAUCGUCAAGACAGUUCAGAAGGCCAUAGAAACAACCGUAGAAGACAUCGGGUCUAGCUAAACAAUUUGUAGCCUGUUGUGCGGUGCAUGUUUCAAAUAGAGCAGUUUUAUGCAUGUUGACAUUGUUAAUUGGUUA
Molecule: long non-coding RNA, 403 nt
Organism: Corticium candelabrum
Lineage: Eukaryota; Metazoa; Porifera; Homoscleromorpha; Homosclerophorida; Plakinidae
Exons: 3
Source: RefSeq, a predicted model, not a curated record